AGACGAUGAUAAAGACAUUGUCGAAGUAGUUCUUUGUAUCUUUCGCAAGCUUCAUACAACGAUUUAGAAUCUAGUUGCAUGAAUGAUGUAAUUUCACUCCUCAUUUU
This 107-nucleotide small nucleolar RNA is filed under the name Theobroma cacao (cacao). RNAcentral's name for it is "Plant small nucleolar RNA R71". It matches the Rfam family "Plant small nucleolar RNA R71". Rfam says of the family: R71 is a member of the C/D box family of snoRNAs containing the C (UGAUGA) and D (CUGA) box motifs. Multiple nearly identical copies of this snoRNA have been identified in Arabidopsis, and it is thought to function as a 2'-O-ribose methylation guide for 18S ribosomal RNA. Lineage: Eukaryota; Viridiplantae; Streptophyta; Magnoliopsida; Malvales; Malvaceae. The record is from Rfam by way of RNAcentral.